UUCAGCAAGCGGACUUCUGGUAUAGCUGUGAAGAUGUCAGCUAGAAGUCUAUCAGGUAGUCCAUUUGCGACUGCGGGUUAGGUGGCGCGUCGCAAGGGCGCGGGCCUGCGGCGGUCGGGCACGUGGCAGCGCGGGCGGAGGCAGGAGCCGACGAGCCGCGAAGCCGCCCGUGCCGAACCUGGCGCGGGCAGCGUGCGGCUGGUGGCAGGUGGCGCUGCCGGCUGCCGCGUCGUCCGUCGUGCCUCCCGGGCUGCGGCUAGGCGGGCGGGAUCGAAAAGGAUCGAGAAGAUUCGUACCGUUCAGCAAGACGAUGGAGGAAGUAGAGACCUGCUAGAAGAUGUUGUAAACGAUUUGUGAAAUGUCGGUCAGACGGUUAGAGAAGGUCAUACAAAGAGUCUAGCUUAACUCCUAGUUCACGUCCAUCGCGGUCUCGUCCUGUAGUCGUCACUUGAAGGCCCGUUUCCACAGACCAACUCCGGCUUAAAGCACAAAACUGGGAAAACCGUAUGUUUAAGCCCUAAACUGGGGACAAACUAAAAAAAAGGCCCUAAAAUGGGAAAAAGAAUGGCGGUCUCCGAGACCGCCAACCCAAUGUAUCGGAUGGCGGUCCCCGGGACCGCCAUCCGAUGAAUAGGUACAGUCGGAGUGGUUUGCCGACGGCAAAGUACGGCAGCUGGGAUGGCGAUCCUGUGGGUCGCCAUCCCACACGUUGGGAUGACGGUUACAGGCACCGCCAUUCACGGCUUGCCAGCAUUCGGGCGUCCCCGGCCGAGCACCCCGGGUAGGUGCUUGGGUCGGGGGUAGAAGAAGAGGGGACGGCAGCGGGCGUUCUUGUCUCUCCCCUUCCGGAGAGAGUAGGGGAGGUGAGGGGGGUAGGCUAGAAGAAGCAAACACUUGCCAAAAACGCCUAGCUCUACCGAAGCUUUGCUCUUUUCUCCGGGGGGUAACCAGGCCGCUAACGUGAUUAAUGUAAUACGAACUGGGCCGUAAGCUGUUGCCAGUAGCGCGGGCAAUGUAGCUCUCGCCUCACCAUUUAUCGUGACUAGUUGCACAACGUAGUGUUAAAACGGAAAAGUUUUCAAAAAAGAUUGAUAAAAGCACACGUGUAACUGUUUACGAAGGCGGGAAUGCAUACUCCCCGGUGUGGUUCCAGUUUCUCUACUUGAUGCUGUUGGCGAUGUUCGGUAUAAUGUCCUCUCGGCCCGAGAACCCAAAGCACGAGGUCAAGUUCGCAUACGGCGGCUACGAACAGGUGUGCCGAGAGUGUAGCAACCACCUGGCAACCGCCGGGCUCUGUGUGAGAAAGGUAGAGGGUACACCACUCUACUGCCACUGCGAGCUCCUGAAACGGUACUAGUGCCGGGAUGGCUAGUUCCCGGUACGAGAGUAACCCACGCACCUAUUCUUCUUGACCGGCCUGUCCCAAUGGCGGGAGUAGCCGCUGACGGGAGGGUAGUUCUCAUUGGCUUGUAGGCCACAUCGUGACCGUACCGAGGAUCUGGUGGCCCGACUUACGGGCGUUCUACGCCUAGGCUCCUGGCACCUCGUCAUACGUUCCUGGAUGGAUACCAAAGAAAAGUGUCUCCACCAGAAAGGACUGACGAGCCCCCUGUUGCGGGAUACCUACAUGAACCUGAAGGACCGGCUGACCCUACGUCCCAUGUCGACCCCCAGACGACCGGAGCACAUGGAGAUGGCAAGUGACCUACUGCGUUGUGUCUCCUGGCUCUUUUGUAGACCCUACACACCCACACAGACCCGGGAGAGCUAAACCUCAACCCUCGCCGACGGCCAACCAGCGGGACUCUUCGACGGUGUCUGUCUCACCUGCCUCAUACCGCUCCUACCGCUGGCAAGAGCUAUGGGAUGACAGCGGAUAAGAACCCUGUUCCAAUUCCAGAAGAGCCCGUUCCUUUCACGCUACAUGUUCCGGAAGUGGUUACUCGACCUGUUGGACUGUAGAAAAGUCCAAUUGACCACCGACAUGGUGCUAUCUCGAACCCCCAAGCUCGACUUGCUCUACACGCUCGCCCUGGCGGAAGAGAAGACCACGUAACAGGGCGACUAUACGCACAUGCGGCAGCUUACCGUGGAUGGUGUUGCGCACCGCUGUGUUAAACCGCAUAACGUUGUGUGUGGUGGUCGUUCCGGGGUGCUGUGGCCGCCAAUGCUGGAAGUGUUCUUCUCGUUAGUCAUAAGAGUCAGCUAUAACCUGACCCGACUGCUCGUGUUCAGAAAACACUGUUACACCCUGCUCUCCUGCAAGGCGUUUCUACCCCUCUCCAGUCCGUAAACGACCUUACACAUACUCUCCGUGUACUUAACCAUACUGCUACCGUAGUUCAAAGCAGACGUAGACUCCGGUGCUACCUGCCUUCACCUGUACCGUAGUGAAGUCCUCCUCCUCCUGAGACUCCUACUUCUUUGGAGUCUCUAUACGUUCCACUAAAGUCCCUCAUACGCGGGGAAUACUUGUCUCACCGGCGUCUCGAUUUGUACUUGUAAAAGCUGCCGAGCUUACGCGAAUCAAGACUGGGACCUUGGUACCUCCCACUGUUGUUCGACUCCCUUCGCUGCUUCUUCUAGUAAUUGGCAACGGCGUUCGAUCGCCCGUACGAACCCACGCGGCGGAACCAACUGCACGUACAAGGAGGAGGACCACCCAGCUGUGCACGGGAUCGAAGUAGUUCGGUGUGGCCUCCUCCAAGGAGCUCGGUACGGCGGAGCAGCAGAGCGGAACAAUUGCUCUGGCUCCUUCUUCUCCUUCACCUGCUCCUCCUUCUCCUUCUUCUCCCUCUUCUCCUUCCUCCACUGCUGCUUCUUCCACUACUCCUCCUCAUGCUGCUGCUACUACCUGGAGUUGACUGAGUCGGUUGGGUCGGCCUGCUCCCGGCGAGCUUCUGUUUGUUCCUCCUCGUACGGCGGUUCUCCCCCUCCCCCUCCUUGAUCACUACAACUUGAACGAUUCAAUUUCAUCAACAGAAUACAACUUGAUGAACCACAGGACAAUAACGAUGGAUACAAUCAUCAACUUGGAUAAAACUAUACAACUUGAAUUACCUAUGUAGUUAAAAUGAUAGACAUUCACACUCCAAUAGUAUUAAAGUAUACGUUUGUGAAAAACGACGACACGAAUAG
Molecule: ribosomal RNA, 3138 nt
Filed under: Triticum aestivum (bread wheat)
Lineage: Eukaryota; Viridiplantae; Streptophyta; Magnoliopsida; Poales; Poaceae
Description: partial small subunit ribosomal RNA
Source: RNAcentral